GACGAACGCUGGCGGCGUGCUUAACACAUGCAAGUCGAACGGAAAGGCCCUGCUUUUGUGGGGUGCUCGAGUGGCGAACGGGUGAGUAACACGUGAGUAACCUGCCCUUGACUUUGGGAUAACUUCAGGAAACUGGGGCUAAUACCGGAUAGGAGCUCCUGCUGCAUGGUGGGGGUUGGAAAGUUUCGGCGGUGGGGGAUGGACUCGCGGCUUAUCAGCUUGUUGGUGGGGUAGUGGCUUACCAAGCCUUUGACGGGUAGCCGGCCUGAGAGGGUGACCGGCCACAUUGGGACUGAGAUACGGCCCAGACUCCUACGGGAGGCAGCAGUGGGGAAUAUUGCACAAUGGGCGGAAGCCUGAUGCAGCAACGCCGCGUGCGGGAUGACGGCCUUCGGGUUGUAAACCGCUUUCGCCUGUGACGAAGCGUGAGUGGCGGUAAUGGGUAAAGAAGCACCGGCUAACUACGUG
This 468-nucleotide ribosomal RNA is filed under the name uncultured bacterium. Its description in RNAcentral is "partial 16S ribosomal RNA". It matches the Rfam family "Bacterial small subunit ribosomal RNA", at positions 28 to 507 of the family's 1533-position model. The record is from RNAcentral.